RNAcentral lists this long non-coding RNA (251 nucleotides) under Manihot esculenta (cassava). Its description in RNAcentral is "long non-coding RNA (MESC_LNC005744)". Lineage: Eukaryota; Viridiplantae; Streptophyta; Magnoliopsida; Malpighiales; Euphorbiaceae. The record is from RNAcentral.
AGCCGUACAGACAACCCUGGGAGCGAAGGGACCAAAGACCUCUCCCUCCUCGGGUCUCUGAACAGAGGCCACUCCCUCCGUUGGUUCCAGAGAAACCGACCCCACUCAAUGCCUCUAGAGCCGAAGUGCUCAUGGCCGUCCAGGACAAGGAGUUCCUCCAAUGGCCCAGGCCUAUGAAAACGGAAGCAAACCAGCGAGAUCCUGACAAAUAUUGUCAGUACCAUCGCACGCACGGCCACGACACCAAUAAC